This 497-nucleotide ribosomal RNA is filed under the name uncultured bacterium. Its description in RNAcentral is "partial 16S ribosomal RNA". It matches the Rfam family "Bacterial small subunit ribosomal RNA", at positions 28 to 507 of the family's 1533-position model. The record is from RNAcentral.
GAUGAACGCUGGCGGCGUGCCUAAUACAUGCAAGUCGAGCGAACAGACGAGGAGCUUGCUCCUCUGACGUUAGCGGCGGACGGGUGAGUAACACGUGGAUAACCUACCUAUAAGACUGGGAUAACUUCGGGAAACCGGAGCUAAUACCGGAUAAUAUAUUGAACCGCAUGGUUCAAUAGUGAAAGACGGUUUUGCUGUCACUUAUAGAUGGAUCCGCGCCGCAUUAGCUAGUUGGUAAGGUAACGGCUUACCAAGGCAACGAUGCGUAGCCGACCUGAGAGGGUGAUCGGCCACACUGGAACUGAGACACGGUCCAGACUACUACGGGAGGCAGCAGUAGGGAAUCUUCCGCAAUGGGCGAAAGCCUGACGGAGCAAAGCCGCGUGAGUGAUGAAGGUCUUCGGAUAGUAAAACUCUGUUAUUAGGGAAGAACAAAUGUGUAAGUAACUAUGCACGUCUUGACGGUACCUAAUCAGAAAGCCACGGCUAACUACGUG